This 1241-nucleotide ribosomal RNA is filed under the name Staphylococcus aureus. Its description in RNAcentral is "bacterial SSU rRNA". It matches the Rfam family "Bacterial small subunit ribosomal RNA", at positions 1 to 1223 of the family's 1533-position model. The record is from RNAcentral. Lineage: Bacteria; Bacillati; Bacillota; Bacilli; Caryophanales; Staphylococcaceae.
UUUAUGGAGAGUUUGAUCCUGGCUCAGGAUGAACGCUGGCGGCGUGCCUAAUACAUGCAAGUCGAGCGAACGGACGAGAAGCUUGCUUCUCUGAUGUUAGCGGCGGACGGGUGAGUAACACGUGGAUAACCUACCUAUAAGACUGGGAUAACUUCGGGAAACCGGAGCUAAUACCGGAUAAUAUUUUGAACCGCAUGGUUCAAAAGUGAAAGACGGUCUUGCUGUCACUUAUAGAUGGAUCCGCGCUGCAUUAGCUAGUUGGUAAGGUAACGGCUUACCAAGGCAACGAUGCAUAGCCGACCUGAGAGGGUGAUCGGCCACACUGGAACUGAGACACGGUCCAGACUCCUACGGGAGGCAGCAGUAGGGAAUCUUCCGCAAUGGGCGAAAGCCUGACGGAGCAACGCCGCGUGAGUGAUGAAGGUCUUCGGAUCGUAAAACUCUGUUAUUAGGGAAGAACAUAUGUGUAAGUAACUGUGCACAUCUUGACGGUACCUAAUCAGAAAGCCACGGCUAACUACGUGCCAGCAGCCGCGGUAAUACGUAGGUGGCAAGCGUUAUCCGGAAUUAUUGGGCGUAAAGCGCGCGUAGGCGGUUUUUUAAGUCUGAUGUGAAAGCCCACGGCUCAACCGUGGAGGGUCAUUGGAAACUGGAAAACUUGAGUGCAGAAGAGGAAAGUGGAAUUCCAUGUGUAGCGGUGAAAUGCGCAGAGAUAUGGAGGAACACCAGUGGCGAAGGCGACUUUCUGGUCUGUAACUGACGCUGAUGUGCGAAAGCGUGGGGAUCAAACAGGAUUAGAUACCCUGGUAGUCCACGCCGUAAACGAUGAGUGCUAAGUGUUAGGGGGUUUCCGCCCCUUAGUGCUGCAGCUAACGCAUUAAGCACUCCGCCUGGGGAGUACGACCGCAAGGUUGAAACUCAAAGGAAUUGACGGGGACCCGCACAAGCGGUGGAGCAUGUGGUUUAAUUCGAAGCAACGCGAAGAACCUUACCAAAUCUUGACAUCCUUUGACAACUCUAGAGAUAGAGCUUUCCCCUUCGGGGGACAAAGUGACAGGUGGUGCAUGGUUGUCGUCAGCUCGUGUCGUGAGAUGUUGGGUUAAGUCCCGCAACGAGCGCAACCCUUAAGCUUAGUUGCCAUCAUUAAGUUGGGCACUCUAAGUUGACUGCCGGUGACAAACCGGAGGAAGGUGGGGAUGACGUCAAAUCAUCAUGCCCCUUAUGAUUUGGGCUACACACGU